Molecule: non-coding RNA, 179 nt
Organism: Malus domestica (apple)
Lineage: Eukaryota; Viridiplantae; Streptophyta; Magnoliopsida; Rosales; Rosaceae
Source: RefSeq, a predicted model, not a curated record
AUAUAAAAGUACAAACAAGUUAUUAUCCAUGACCUAGUCUCAUAGUUCUCAAUUGCCACAGCUACAAUAACCGAAGUUACACACUUGAGCAGGAGGCAUGAUGUGAAGUUCCACAUUCUUGAGGCAUGAUGUGAAGUUCCACAUUCUUGGUUUCCUAAUUGCCACAGCUUAAAUGCCAU